UUUCGGAGCCAGACCUUCGCUCCGGGUUCUUUGAAUCAGGAGAGGAAAGUCCGGACACCAUCGGGCAGGAUUCCGUGUGAAAGCACGGGCGUCGCGUUUCAAGGCGCGGCGACGGACAGUGUCACAGAAAAUAGACCGCCUCGCGGGCAACUGCGGGGUAAGGGUGAAAAGGUGGGGUAAGAGCCCACCGCGUCUUCGCGCAAGCGGGACGGCACGAAAAACCCAAUCCGGUGCAAGGCAACAUAGGCGGCUGGGCGGCCCGUCCGAUAGCCGCGGGUAUGCCGCAUCCGCCUUUCCCCCGCGCAAGCGGGCUACGGCGGACUGGGUCGCCUCGUGCGGCCCUGAGAGAAAUGAAGGUCACCCCGAUUCGUCGGGGCACAGAAUCCGGCUUACGGCGACGAAACUAG
Molecule: RNase P RNA, 407 nt
Filed under: Candidatus Didemnitutus sp.
Lineage: Bacteria; Pseudomonadati; Verrucomicrobiota; Opitutia; Opitutales; Opitutaceae
Description: RNase P RNA component class A
Rfam family: Bacterial RNase P class A
About the family: Ribonuclease P (RNase P) is a ubiquitous endoribonuclease, found in archaea, bacteria and eukarya as well as chloroplasts and mitochondria. Its best characterised activity is the generation of mature 5'-ends of tRNAs by cleaving the 5'-leader elements of precursor-tRNAs.
Source: RNAcentral